This 253-nucleotide ribosomal RNA is filed under the name uncultured bacterium. Its description in RNAcentral is "partial 16S ribosomal RNA". It matches the Rfam family "Bacterial small subunit ribosomal RNA", at positions 524 to 776 of the family's 1533-position model. The record is from RNAcentral.
UACGUAGGGUGCAAGCGUUAAUCGGAAUUACUGGGCGUAAAGCGUGCGCAGGCGGUUUUGUAAGUCUGUCGUGAAAUCCCCGGGCUUAACCUGGGAAUGGCGAUGGAGACUGCAAGGCUGGAAUCUGGCAGAGGGGGGGAGAAUUCCACGUGUAGCAGUGAAAUGCGUAGAGAUGUGGAGGAACACCGAUGGCGAAGGCAGCCCCCUGGGCUAAGAUUGACGCUCAUGCACGAAAGCGUGGGGAGCAAACAGG